UAGAAACUUUAUGAAUUGAACGUAUGAAUCCCGAGGUAUAUAUAGGAGGGAAAUUGCGUUCUUUUUUUUUUAGUGUAAACAAAUUUGAAAGCACUACUUGCAAUAAAUAUUUGUUGAGAGCACCUUUCAAAAAUUGACAGUUUAUCACGAGUUCAUUUCCGAUGAAUUUCACAAAUUAUUGUUAGCAUAGCAGCACUUGUUUAAAUAUUAUUUUAAUAUUACUAUUAUUAUUAUUUACCAUCCCCGCUUUCAUUAUUUGUGACUAAUACUAAGCUUUUUAGAGUGCAGGAGACUUACCCUGUUUUCCUUUAAAAGCUUAUCGAUUUUCGAGCUUCCAAUGCUAGAAUGGAUGGAAAAGGAUACACUUGCAACGAUUUGAAAGCUUUGUGCUUACAUGUUACUUUGAUGUAAACAACUUUUUAAAUUUCGUUACAAUUGCAUUUCUUCAGAAAAUGACGAAAAUGAAGGAAACUCUUUUUCACCGAGUUGGUUAACUAUUAUUAUUAAUUGCAUGGGCAAACGCUACCGCGAUCCCGGCACCUUCUUCGGAUCGGAGCACCAUACUCUGCCCGGCGUUGUAAAAUGCUCGCCAAACGCAUGGUGUCUGAUUAUGCAGAUGGCCUCACAUUCACUUAGAAUAUGAUGGGACGUAUCAUUCGUCCCUUGGAAGAACCUGCACAAAUCCCUAUCGGAUACACCCAUGUUUUUCAGACGUACCUAAGGGAAUUACGACCCGUGUAGAAACCCGCGACUCAACUUAGCUCGCUUCUGGUUAUUUCCAACAGUUUAUAUAUCAUAAGGGAAGAUUUUAUGAAU
This is a long non-coding RNA of Glossina fuscipes, 816 nucleotides long. RefSeq lists it as uncharacterized. The record is from RefSeq and is a predicted model, not a curated record. NCBI's taxonomy places the organism in Eukaryota, Metazoa, Arthropoda, Insecta, Diptera, Glossinidae. The transcript has 3 exons.